This 72-nucleotide transfer RNA is filed under the name Culex quinquefasciatus (southern house mosquito). It matches the Rfam family "tRNA". From Rfam's summary of the family: Transfer RNA (tRNA) molecules are approximately 80 nucleotides in length. The record is from Rfam by way of RNAcentral. Lineage: Eukaryota; Metazoa; Arthropoda; Insecta; Diptera; Culicidae.
GGAAGCGUGUUGUAGGGGUAAGCGUAGUUGCCUCUCACUCAGUCGGCUUUGGUUCGAUCCCAGACGGUUCCA